UACGUAGGGGGCAAGCGUUGUCCGGAAUUAUUGGGCGUAAAGCGCGCGCAGGCGGUCCAUUAAGUUGGGUGUUUAAGCCCGGGGCUCAACCCCGGUUCGCAUCCAAAACUGGUUGACUUGAGUGUAGGAGAGGAAAGUGGAAUUCCACGUGUAGCGGUGAAAUGCGUAGAGAUGUGGAGGAACACCAGUGGCGAAGGCGACUUUCUGGCCUAUAACUGACGCUGAGGCGCGAAAGCGUGGGGAGCAAACAGG
Molecule: ribosomal RNA, 252 nt
Filed under: uncultured bacterium
Lineage: Bacteria
Description: partial 16S ribosomal RNA
Rfam family: Bacterial small subunit ribosomal RNA
Source: RNAcentral